AGCGAGCGCUGGCGGCAGGCUUAACACAUGCAAGUCGAACGCCCCGCAAGGGGAGUGGCAGACGGGUGAGUAACACGUGGGAACGUACCCUUUGGUUCGGAAUAACUUGGGGAAACUCAAGCUAAUACCGGAUAAGCCCUUAUGGGGAAAGGUUUACUGCCGAAGGAUCGGCCCGCGUCUGAUUAGCUAGUUGGUGAGGUAAUGGCUCACCAAGGCGACGAUCAGUAGCUGGGCUGAGAGGAUGAUCAGCCACACUGGGACUGAGACACGGCCCAGACUCCUACGGGAGGCAGCAGUGGGGAAUAUUGGACAAUGGGGGCAACCCUGAUCCAGCCAUGCCGCGUGAGUGAUGAAGGCCUUAGGGUUGUAAAGCUCUUUUACCCGGGACGAUAAUGACUGUACCGGGAGAAUAAGCCCCGGCUAACUUCGUGCCAGCAGCCGCGGUAA
Molecule: ribosomal RNA, 447 nt
Filed under: uncultured bacterium
Lineage: Bacteria
Description: partial 16S ribosomal RNA
Rfam family: Bacterial small subunit ribosomal RNA
Source: RNAcentral